GGGAAUUUUGCGCAAUGGGGGAAACCCUGACGCAGCAACGCCGCGUGGAGGAUGAAGUAUCUCGGUACGUAAACUCCUUUCGAUGGGGAAGAUAAUGACGGUACCCAUAGAAGAAGCCCCGGCUAACUUCGUGCCAGCAGCCGCGGUAAUACGAGGGGGGCAAGCGUUGUUCGGAUUUAUUGGGCGUAAAGGGUGCGUAGGCGGUUUGGCAAGUCUUAUGUGAAAUCUAUGGGCUCAACCCAUAGUCUGCAUGAGAAACUACCGGGCUUGAGUGAUGGAGAGGUGAGUGGAAUUUCCGGUGUAGCGGUGAAAUGCGUAGAUAUCGGAAGGAACACCUGUGGCGAAGGCGGCUCACUGGUCCGGAACUGACGCUGAGGUGCGAAAGCGUGGGGAGCAAA
RNAcentral lists this ribosomal RNA (398 nucleotides) under uncultured bacterium. RNAcentral describes it as "bacterial SSU rRNA". It matches the Rfam family "Bacterial small subunit ribosomal RNA", at positions 357 to 772 of the family's 1533-position model. The record is from RNAcentral.